RNAcentral lists this ribosomal RNA (440 nucleotides) under uncultured bacterium. Its description in RNAcentral is "partial 16S ribosomal RNA". It matches the Rfam family "Bacterial small subunit ribosomal RNA", at positions 338 to 795 of the family's 1533-position model. The record is from RNAcentral.
CCUACGGGAGGCAGCAGUGGGGAAUAUUGCACAAUGGGGGAAACCCUGAUGCAGCGAUGCCGCGUGUGCGAUGACGUCUUUCGGUAUGUAAAGCACUAUCAGCAGGGAAGAAAAUGAUGGUACUUGACUAAGAAGCACCGGAUAACUACGUGCCAGCAGCCGCGGUAAUACGGCGGGGGCACGCGGUCUCUGGAUUUACUGGGUGUAACGGGAGCGUAGAUGGCUUGGCAAGCCGGAUGUGAAAGGCUGGGGCUCAACCCCAGAACUGAAUCUGGGACUGUACUGCUAGAGUGUCGGAGAGGGAGGUGGAAUUCCUAGUGUAGCGGUGAAAUGCGUAGAUAUUUGGAGGAACACCGGUGGCGAAGGCGGCCUGCUGGACGAUGACUGACGUUGAGGCGCGAAAGCGUGGGGAGCAAACAGGAUUAGAUACCCGAGUAGUC